AGAGUUUGAUCCUGGCUCAGGACGAACGCUGGCGGUGCGCUUUAUGCAUGCAAGUCGAGCGAAGCUUUUCAGUAGUUUACUACAGAAAAUGACUGAGCGGCGAACGGGUGAGUAACGCGUGAGCAAUCUACCUUAGUUACAGGGAUAGCCCGAGGAAACUCGGAUUAAUACCUGAUAUUCUUUAUUUCUCGCAUGAGAUUAAAAGGAAAGGUCAGCCGAACUAAGAUGAGCUCGCGUUCUAUCAGCUAGUUGGUGAGGUAAAAGCUUACCAAGGCUACGACGGAUAGCUGGUCUGAGAGGACGAUCAGCCACACUGGGACUGAGACACGGCCCAGACUCCUACGGGAGGCUGCAGCAGGGAAUAUUGUGCAAUGAACGAAAGUUUGACACAGCGACACCGCGUGUGGGAUGACGGAUCUAGGUUUGUAAACCACUUUCAGGAGGGAAGAAAAUGACGGUACCUCCAUAAGAAGCCCCGGCCAACUACGUGCCAGCAGCCGCGGUAAUACGUAGGGGGCGAGCGUUGUCCGGAUUUAUUGGGCGUAAAGAGCUCGUAGGCGGUUCAACAAGUCGGUCGUGAAAGUUCAGGGCUCAACCCUGAAAUGUCGAUCGAUACUGUUGUGACUAGGAUACGGUAGAGGUGAGUGGAAUUCCGAGUGUAGCGGUGAAAUGCGUAGAUAUUCGGAGGAACACCAAUAGCGAAGGCAGCUCACUGGGCCGCUAUCGACGCUGAGGAGCGAAAGCUAGGGGAGCAAACAGGAUUAGAUACCCUGGUAGUCCUAGCUGUAAACGAUGGAUACUAGACGUAGGAACUGGAUUGACGGUUUCUGUGUCGCAGCUAACGCGUUAAGUAUCCCGCCUGGGGAGUACGGUCGCAAGACUAAAACUCAAAGGAAUUGACGG
RNAcentral lists this ribosomal RNA (903 nucleotides) under uncultured marine bacterium. RNAcentral describes it as "bacterial SSU rRNA". It matches the Rfam family "Bacterial small subunit ribosomal RNA", at positions 8 to 916 of the family's 1533-position model. The record is from RNAcentral.